Molecule: ribosomal RNA, 524 nt
Filed under: uncultured Bacillus sp.
Lineage: Bacteria; Bacillati; Bacillota; Bacilli; Caryophanales; Bacillaceae
Description: bacterial SSU rRNA
Rfam family: Bacterial small subunit ribosomal RNA
Source: RNAcentral
AGGUCUUGACAUCCUCUGACAACCCUAGAGAUAGGGCUUUCCCUUCGGGGACAGAGUGACAGGUGGUGCAUGGUGUCGUCGGCUCGUGUCGUGAGAUGUUGGGUUAAGUCCCGCAACGAGCGCAAGGGUUGAUCUUAGUUGCCAGCAUUUAGUUGGGCACUCUAAGGUGACUGCCGGUGACAAACCGGAGGAAGGUGGGGAUGACGUCAAAUCAUCAUGCCCCUUAUGACCUGGGCUACACACGUGCUACAAUGGACAGAACAAAGGGCUGCGAGACCGCAAGGUUUAGCCAAUCCCACAAAUCUGUUCUCAGUUCGGAUCGCAGUCUGCAACUCGACUGCGUGAAGCUGGAAUCGCUAGUAAUCGCGGAUCAGCAUGCCGCGGUGAAUACGUUCCCGGGCCUUGUACACACCGCCCGUCACACCACGAGAGUUUGCAACACCCGAAGUCGGUGAGGUAACCUUUAUGGAGCCAGCCGCCGAAGGUGGGGCAGAUGAUUGGGGUGAAGUCGUAACAAGGUAACC